Molecule: transfer RNA, 72 nt
Filed under: Camelus bactrianus (Bactrian camel)
Lineage: Eukaryota; Metazoa; Chordata; Mammalia; Artiodactyla; Camelidae
Also listed under: 2 other names
Rfam family: tRNA
About the family: Transfer RNA (tRNA) molecules are approximately 80 nucleotides in length.
Source: Rfam by way of RNAcentral
GUGAGUAUAGGUCAGUGGUAGAGCACAUGCUUAGCAUGCACGAGGUCCUGGGUUCUAUCCCCAGUACCUCCA